RNAcentral lists this ribosomal RNA (467 nucleotides) under uncultured bacterium. Its description in RNAcentral is "partial 16S ribosomal RNA". It matches the Rfam family "Bacterial small subunit ribosomal RNA", at positions 28 to 507 of the family's 1533-position model. The record is from RNAcentral.
GAUGAACGCUGGCGGCGCGCCUAACACAUGCAAGUCGAACGAUUAAAGCACCUUCGGGUGUGUAUAAAGUGGCGAACGGCUGAGUAACACGUGGGCAACCUGCCCCUUUCAUUGGGAUAGCCACGGGAAACCGUGGAUAAUACCGAAUACUUCGAGACUUCCGCAUGGAAGACUCGAGAAAGCUCCGGCGGUGAGGGAUGGGCCCGCGGCCUGUUAGCUUGUUGGUGGGGUAACGGCCUACCAAGGCAAUGAUGGGUAGCUGGGUUGAGAGACCGACCAGCCAGAUUGGGACUGAGACACGGCCCAGACUCCUACGGGAGGCAGCAGUGGGGAAUCUUGCACAAUGGGCGAAAGCCUGAUGCAGCGACGCCGCGUGCGGGAUGAAGGCCUUCGGGUUGUAAACCGCUUUCAGCAGGGACGAGGCGAAAGUGACGGUACCUGCAGAAGAAGCCCCGGCUAACUACGUG